This 252-nucleotide ribosomal RNA is filed under the name uncultured bacterium. Its description in RNAcentral is "partial 16S ribosomal RNA". It matches the Rfam family "Bacterial small subunit ribosomal RNA", at positions 524 to 776 of the family's 1533-position model. The record is from RNAcentral.
UACGUAGGGGGCAAGCGUUGUCCGGAAUUAUUGGGCGUAAAGCGCGCGCAGGCGGCCAUUUAAGUCUGGUGUAUAAGUCCGGGGCUCAACCCCGGGACGCACUGGAAACUGGGUGGCUUGAGUGCAGAAGAGGAAAGUGGAAUUCCACGUGUAGCGGUGAAAUGCGUAGAGAUGUGGAGGAACACCAGUGGCGAAGGCGACUUUCUGGGCUGUAACUGACGCUGAGGCGCGAAAGCGUGGGGAGCAAACAGG